RNAcentral lists this ribosomal RNA (253 nucleotides) under Comamonadaceae bacterium. RNAcentral's name for it is "partial 16S ribosomal RNA". It matches the Rfam family "Bacterial small subunit ribosomal RNA", at positions 524 to 776 of the family's 1533-position model. RNAcentral also lists the same sequence under 1 other name. The record is from RNAcentral. Lineage: Bacteria; Pseudomonadati; Pseudomonadota; Betaproteobacteria; Burkholderiales; Comamonadaceae.
UACGUAGGGUGCAAGCGUUAAUCGGAAUUACUGGGCGUAAAGCGUGCGCAGGCGGUUAUGCAAGACAGAGGUGAAAUCCCCGGGCUCAACCUGGGAACUGCCUUUGUGACUGCAUAGCUAGAGUACGGCAGAGGGGGAUGGAAUUCCGCGUGUAGCAGUGAAAUGCGUAGAUAUGCGGAGGAACACCGAUGGCGAAGGCAAUCCCCUGGGCCUGUACUGACGCUCAUGCACGAAAGCGUGGGGAGCAAACAGG